Molecule: non-coding RNA, 252 nt
Organism: Chlorocebus sabaeus (green monkey)
Lineage: Eukaryota; Metazoa; Chordata; Mammalia; Primates; Cercopithecidae
Source: RefSeq, a predicted model, not a curated record
ACAAGAACAAAAGCGCACUGCAGUUGGAGCAGCAAGUAAAGGAACUGCAGGAGAAGCUGAGCAAGGAGAUGGAGGAGGACAUCUAGACACUGAGGAGGAGGGGGUGCCUCGGCAUAUGCCGAGCAUCCCAGAGGACCUGGAGAGCCGGGAAGCCAUGAGUGGCUUUAUGGACCUCCCGAGGGAGAAGGUGGACGGAAGCAGCAGGUGGUGAAACUAGACCUUGAUUCAUCCAGCUCUCUGAGCGACAGAUGG